AUGGCCUGGGCCCCUCUCCUCCUCGCGGUGCUCGCCCAUGGCUCAGGGCAGCCCAAGGUCUCCCCCACUGUCCACCUCGUCCCGCCAUCUGCCGAGGAGCUCUCAGGGCAGAGCAAAGCCACCCUGGUGUGUCUGCUGGGACACUUCUACCCCAGCACCAUGCAGGUGGCCUGGACAGCUGAUGGCCAUGCCCUCACCAGUGGCAUCAAGACCAACCAGACCCAGUGGCAGACCAACAACCAGUACAUGGCCAGCAGCUACCUGACGCUGAGUGCUGCUGACUGGAAGAGCCAUGAGACCUACACCUGCACGGUCAGGCAUGAGAGUGGCACCAUCGAGAAGGUCCUGAAUAGAUCUGUGCGCUCCUAA
This is a non-coding RNA of Nipponia nippon (crested ibis), 369 nucleotides long. Lineage: Eukaryota; Metazoa; Chordata; Aves; Pelecaniformes; Threskiornithidae. The record is from the annotation of a RefSeq genome assembly.